This is a non-coding RNA of Bactrocera oleae (olive fruit fly), 390 nucleotides long. Lineage: Eukaryota; Metazoa; Arthropoda; Insecta; Diptera; Tephritidae. The record is from RefSeq and is a predicted model, not a curated record.
CGUUUCACUCAACAUCAGACCGAAUCGUUUCAAUUUUAACAUUAAUAGCUUUGAUAUAAAAAUUAAACAGUCUCUGCUUCCCAGCUAGCUUCCCUACAACAAUUUGAACCUUAUGAGACUAUUUACCAUGAAGAUAAAGGACUAGAAACAUUUGUUUAUUUUGUUAUAAGCGGCACCUGUAUGGUUCUACAAUGCUUAGAAAUCAAGGUCUCUAUGAAGCAAAAGGGAAAACGAUUCGAACUUGUUGAUUUUGUCAAGAGUGAUGAUACAUUCAGAAAUUUAAGCCUCGCAGAAAUUCGAAGCCAUAUGCGCGUAAAAUCCAGGUUUUCCUCCGUUGUAGAAGUCAAAUCGCAGUCAGAUGAGGAUAUUAGUGCUCAGCAACAAAAAAAG